Ceratitis capitata (Mediterranean fruit fly) is the source of this 1142-nucleotide long non-coding RNA. RefSeq lists it as uncharacterized. NCBI's taxonomy places the organism in Eukaryota, Metazoa, Arthropoda, Insecta, Diptera, Tephritidae. The record is from RefSeq and is a predicted model, not a curated record. The transcript has 3 exons.
AUAAAAUCAAAAAUAAAAAAGUAUAUUAAAUGAAAAAACCAAUAAAAAAAAUAAAAUAAAAUGUGAGCGACAAAUAAGAAAACAAAAAACAAAAUUUAAUUUGACUCACAUUCAACCCUGACAAUCAGCUGACUAUAUUACUUUUGCUGUUAUAAGGAAUAUCAUGGGAUAAAGGAGGAAUUUUCCGCAAGAACACAUUUAAACAACUUAUUAAUCAGAAAUGGAAUAUUCACUACUAACUCGGCUGCAAUAGCCUAAUGGUUAGCAUUGCGUGCUAACAUUCGAGAGGAAUUGUCAAGCGUAUUUUUGAUAAGGAAAUCAAAACUUCUCCGAAAUCCAGCGACUAAUCGGAGGCGGCUUGGAAUAAACUGUAGAUCAUCUUGUUGGAAAACCUAAAGACUAACAUCACAAAUUGAAAAAGGACAAAUAUCGUUUGAACGGUUGCAAAUCUCUAAUUAUUACGAUUUUGUGUUCAAGUUCAGCUUGUAUUGUUGUUGUUUCAUUGCUGAACUGAGGUUUUUGACUAUUAAAAAGCAUAUUAAAUUAUUCAAUCAAGCUAAAUGUAUUACUUUCAUUAUGGAAAGAAUCCUUUCUCAACGAUUUAGUCUUCUUUCUGGUAGUAUAUGGAUUCUUCUGACUCGCUUUUCUGCAUCCAGCAAUAUUUUCUCAUCUUUAAUCCAGUUUAUAGCAGCUGAUAAGCGAAUCUACAGCUAUUCAGUUUAGGAGGCAGGUUUCUGGUGGAUUGGCUAGAGCUGGCUUGGUUUUCAUUGAAAAAAAGUUCGUGAUCCAAGUCUUACUGUGGCCUUAGCGAAUACAAUUCACAACUCUUCAUCGCGAGCCCGGCGGGUUGGGAGCUCAAAAAUUUACCCGUGGUAAGGCAAACAUGUCGCAAGAGGUGAUUGAAAUCCAAUAGUUCCCGCGACUGUCGAUUUUUAUACCGGAACCUACGAUUUAUAUCAGGACAAAGGAGUGUCAUUCUCGCAAUAUUCCAAUUGGGGAAUAUUUUUUCGGUUUCCACAAACACAAAAGCAACUCUCUACAAAUAAUUUGACUAAUUCUCUUUACCCAUAUACUUCGAGGAUUUUAAUCUCCCAGAAAUCAUCCAAAUUUUGCAGUAAAUUUACUGCAAAAAUAAUUUCCAC